This 445-nucleotide ribosomal RNA is filed under the name uncultured bacterium. RNAcentral describes it as "bacterial SSU rRNA". It matches the Rfam family "Bacterial small subunit ribosomal RNA", at positions 329 to 792 of the family's 1533-position model. The record is from RNAcentral.
CACCAGACUCCUACGGGAGGCAGCAGUGGGGAAUAUUGGGCAAUGGGGGAAACCCUGACCCAGCGACGCCGCGUGAGGGAAGAAGGUUUUCGGAUUGUAAACCUCUGUCCUUGGUGACGAUAAUGACGGUAGCCAAGGAGGAAGCCACGGCUAACUACGUGCCAGCAGCCGCGGUAAUACGUAGGUGGCGAGCGUUGUCCGGAAUUACUGGGUGUAAAGGGAGCGUAGGCGGGAGUGCAAGUUGAAUGUAUAAUCUAGCGGCUCAACUGAUAGAAGCGUGCAAAACUGCGCUUCUUGAGUGAAGUAGAGGCAGGCGGAAUUCCUAGGGUAGCGGUGAAAUGCGUAGAUAUUAGGAGGAACACCAGUGGCGAAGGCGGCCUGCUGGGCUUUAACUGACGCUGAGGCUCGAAAGCGUGGGUAGCAAACAGGAUUAGAUCCCCUAGUA